Molecule: ribosomal RNA, 376 nt
Filed under: uncultured eukaryote
Lineage: Eukaryota
Description: partial 18S ribosomal RNA
Rfam family: Eukaryotic small subunit ribosomal RNA
Source: RNAcentral
CGAUAGCGUAUAUUUAAGUUGCUGCAGUUAAAAGCUCGUAGUUGGAUUUCGGGUGGGAAUGGCCGGUCCGCCGUUUCGGUGUGCACUUGCUACGCCCACCUUGCUGCCGGGGACGUGCUCUUGAGUUCACGCUCGGGACACGGAGUCGGCGAGGUUACUUUGAGUAAAUUAGAGUGUUCAAAGCAGGCCUACGCUCUGAAUACAUUAGCAUGGAAUAACACGAUAGGACUCUGGCCUAUCUUGUUGGUCUGUAGGACCGGAGUAAUGAUUAAGAGGGACAGUCGGGGGCAUUCGUAUUUCAUUGUCAGAGGUGAAAUUCUUGGAUUUAUGAAAGACGAACUACUGCGAAAGCAUUUGCCAAGGAUGUUUUCAUUAA